AGGCGAGUGGCUCAAUUGGCAGAGCAUCGGUCUCCAAAACCGAGGGUUGUAGGUUCGAUUCCUACCUCGCCUG
RNAcentral lists this transfer RNA (73 nucleotides) under Candidatus Omnitrophota bacterium. Its description in RNAcentral is "tRNA-Trp". It matches the Rfam family "tRNA". From Rfam's summary of the family: Transfer RNA (tRNA) molecules are approximately 80 nucleotides in length. Their secondary structure includes four short double-helical elements and three loops (D, anti-codon, and T loops). The record is from RNAcentral. Lineage: Bacteria; Pseudomonadati; Candidatus Omnitrophota. RNAcentral also lists the same sequence under 1 other name.